Molecule: long non-coding RNA, 646 nt
Filed under: Felis catus (domestic cat)
Lineage: Eukaryota; Metazoa; Chordata; Mammalia; Carnivora; Felidae
Description: lncRNA (ENSFCAG00000045695.2)
Source: RNAcentral
AUAAAAGCCUCAUGCGAACAUAUUUAUUGAAGAAAAACCCAGAACCUAAUUCCUGAGCCUGUUGCCAUAUAAAUGUGGAAAAAUCCGUCUGUGGAUAGCAUCGUCUGAGAAGUCUGAUGGAUGCUUAGUUUGACUUAAAGAUAAAAGGAUGCUUGAAACUCUGUUUGCCCAUCAUGGGCUUCAAUUCUAACUGGAAAGGCAGUGAAAUGCACUUUUGAAAGUUUAUGGAGAAAGACCAAUUCAAGCAAGUGAUUCAGAGAUUACAAGUAUCAUGAAAAACAGGAAAUGAGGAAGCAAGACUGUAAUGAAUCCUUAUAAAUGGGAUGGUAACAGAAGCCAAAGCAUGAGGGAUGUUGGAAAUUCAGUUCAACCCAGCAAGCUUCUGUUGAGUGCCACUACGUACAAGUUCCUGCUUGGUGCUGGGAAGGUUCAAAGAAAGCCAAUGCCCCUGUCCUUUGUCUUAGGUAGACAAUUUGGUCUUCUGUAUGGACAUGUUGAAAUCUUUUAGAACAUGCUGGAAAGAUGUUUCCUAAACUUCAGUCACUCCUCUGCCACUUCUAUAAUUCCCACUGUGAGCUACCUUUUAUUUGUUUGUUUGUUUGUUUUAGCCCAAAGGUUACUUAAAUAAAUUUAGCUUCAUCUUACA